Molecule: ribosomal RNA, 467 nt
Filed under: uncultured bacterium
Lineage: Bacteria
Description: partial 16S ribosomal RNA
Rfam family: Bacterial small subunit ribosomal RNA
Source: RNAcentral
GACGAACGCUGGCGGCGUGCUUAACACAUGCCAGUCGAACGGAAAGGCCCUGCUUUUGUGGGGUGCUCGAGUGGCGAACGGGUGAGUAACACGUGAGUAACCUGCCCUUGACUUUGGGAUAACUUCAGGAAACUGGGGCUAAUACCGGAUAGGAGCUCCUGCUGCAUGGUGGGGGUUGGAAAGUUUCGGCGGUUGGGGAUGGACUCGCGGCUUAUCAGCUUGUUGGUGGGGGAGUGGCUUACCAAGGCUUUGACGGGUAGCCGGCCUGAGGGGGAGGCCGACCACAUGGGGUGGGAAUGAGGGCCGGACCCCACUCGGGGGGGAGGAAGGGGGAGUGAAUCCAGCGGGGUGGGAGACAGACGGACGCAGCCCGGGGGGGGGAAGGAGGCCUUUGGUAUGAAAGCCGAUUUCGUCUGUGGGGGACGGUAAUGACGGGAAAUGGAGAAGAAGCCCCGGCUAACUUCGGG